Molecule: ribosomal RNA, 491 nt
Filed under: uncultured bacterium
Lineage: Bacteria
Description: partial 16S ribosomal RNA
Rfam family: Bacterial small subunit ribosomal RNA
Source: RNAcentral
GAUGAACGCUGGCUACAGGCUUAACACAUGCAAGUCGAGGGGAAACGACGGGGAAGCUUGCUUCCCCGGGCGUCGACCGGCGCACGGGUGAGUAACGCGUAUCCAACCUGCCUCUGACUGAGGGAUAACCCGUCGAAAGUCGGCCUAAUACCUCAUGGUAUCGUCUGCGGGCAUCCAACGACGAUUAAAGAUUUCAUCGGUCAGGGAUGGGGAUGCGUCUGAUUAGCUUGUUGGCGGGGUAACGGCCCACCAAGGCUACGAUCAGUAGGGGUUCGGAGAGGAAGGUCCCCCACAUUGGAACUGAGACACGGUCCAAACUCCUACGGGAGGCAGCAGUGAGGAAUAUUGGUCAAUGGGCGAGAGCCUGAACCAGCCAAGUAGCGUGCAGGAAGACGGCCCUAUGGGUUGUAAACUGCUUUUAUGCGGGGAUAAAGUGAGGGACGUGUCCCUCAUUGCAGGUACCGCAUGAAUAAGGACCGGCUAAUUCCGUG